Papaver somniferum (opium poppy) is the source of this 846-nucleotide long non-coding RNA. RefSeq lists it as uncharacterized. The record is from RefSeq and is a predicted model, not a curated record. NCBI's taxonomy places the organism in Eukaryota, Viridiplantae, Streptophyta, Magnoliopsida, Ranunculales, Papaveraceae. The transcript is spliced from 6 exons.
CCUAUUUAGAAUUUAUCUGUUAUUAAUUUAUUUUCAUAGCUUUCCUGCUAUUGCAACAAGAUAAUAUGGUUUUCAACCUCUGAUUCUUGAUAACUAACGCAGAGAACUUUCCUUGGCUGUUCCCGGAUAUGUUCUUAAGUUACAUCUUUUUAGAAACCUCAGUCAAAGUUUUAAAUGCAACCAACUCAAUUAAAGGGGAAAUACAAGUAGACUAUGAGAUAGAUUGAUCUGAUGGAGAAGAGGGUGGUUAUGGCAGAGUCGAUGCUGGAGGGUACAUUACAGUACCAAUCUGGUCAAGCUAAGUGUUCAAAUCCAUCAAGAAUGCUAUUGAAUCCAUUGAAAGGGCUGUAGAGCAUGGAAUAAUGAAUUUUCUUAUUUCGUCAGAUUCUACAAUGCUAUUAAAGCUUUCAUUACAAGUAAACUGCCAUGGUUUGUGCUGGCUGAUUGCCUAGCCAAGAAAGGUGUUCGAUUAAAUAAAGGUAAUCUCUGUUUUGAGGUACAACAGAAAACUACUUGACGAAAAGGAAUUUGGAGAAGCUCUAUAUGGGAGUGUUCAUUAUGAGCUUUUUUUUCUCUUCAGCCUCAAGAGUCAUAAUAUACUUCGACUUGGAUUCCUAGCUGAAGACACCCUCUAUUUAUGUGUUCGACUGUUUAGAUGCAGGAAUGAUUGCCAAUGCGUUUAUAGAGUCUCAGAAGAUCGGUCUUGAGUACAUGGAUGUUGAAGGUCUUAAGAAGCUUAACAAGAACAAGAACUUGGUCAAGAAGCUUGCAAAGAAGUUUCAUGCUUUCUAGCCUCAGAAGCUGUUAUCAAGCAAAUUCCCCGUCUUCUUGGACCUGGUGUUAACA